RNAcentral lists this transfer RNA (73 nucleotides) under Treponema sp. RNAcentral's name for it is "tRNA-Thr". It matches the Rfam family "tRNA". From Rfam's summary of the family: Transfer RNA (tRNA) molecules are approximately 80 nucleotides in length. Their secondary structure includes four short double-helical elements and three loops (D, anti-codon, and T loops). Further hydrogen bonds mediate the characteristic L-shaped molecular structure. tRNAs have two regions of fundamental functional importance: the anti-codon, which is responsible for specific mRNA codon recognition, and the 3' end, to which the tRNAs corresponding amino acid is attached (by aminoacyl-tRNA synthetases). tRNAs cope with the degeneracy of the genetic code in two manners: having more than one tRNA (with a specific anti-codon) for a particular amino acid; and 'wobble' base-pairing, i.e. permitting non-standard base-pairing at the 3rd anti-codon position. Lineage: Bacteria; Pseudomonadati; Spirochaetota; Spirochaetia; Treponematales; Treponemataceae. RNAcentral also lists the same sequence under 1 other name. The record is from RNAcentral.
GCCGUCUUAGCUCAGUUGGUAGAGCAGCUGAUUCGUAAUCAGCAGGUCAACAGUUCGAUUCUGUUAAACGGCU